Molecule: ribosomal RNA, 2739 nt
Filed under: Staphylococcus aureus H45760
Lineage: Bacteria; Bacillati; Bacillota; Bacilli; Caryophanales; Staphylococcaceae
Also listed under: 9 other names
Description: bacterial LSU rRNA
Rfam family: Bacterial large subunit ribosomal RNA
Source: RNAcentral
ACCCGGAGAACUGAAACAUCUUAGUACCCGGAGGAAGAGAAAGAAAAUUCGAUUCCCUUAGUAGCGGCGAGCGAAACGGGAAGAGCCCAAACCAAAAAGCUUGCUUGUUGGGGUUGUAGGACACUCUAUACGGAGUUACAAAGGACGACAUUAGACGAAUCAUCUGGAAAGAUGAAUCAAAGAAGGUAAUAAUCCUGUAGUCGAAAAUGUUGUCUCUCUUGAGUGGAUCCUGAGUACGACGGAGCACGUGAAAUUCCGUCGGAAUCUGGGAGGACCAUCUCCUAAGGCUAAAUACUCUCUAGUGACCGAUAGUGAACCAGUACCGUGAGGGAAAGGUGAAAAGCACCCCGGAAGGGGAGUGAAAUAGAACCUGAAACCGUGUGCUUACAAGUAGUCAGAGCCCGUUAAUGGGUGAUGGCGUGCCUUUUGUAGAAUGAACCGGCGAGUUACGAUUUGAUGCAAGGUUAAGCAGUAAAUGUGGAGCCGUAGCGAAAGCGAGUCUGAAUAGGGCGUUUAGUAUUUGGUCGUAGACCCGAAACCAGGUGAUCUACCCUUGGUCAGGUUGAAGUUCAGGUAACACUGAAUGGAGGACCGAACCGACUUACGUUGAAAAGUGAGCGGAUGAACUGAGGGUAGCGGAGAAAUUCCAAUCGAACCUGGAGAUAGCUGGUUCUCUCCGAAAUAGCUUUAGGGCUAGCCUCAAGUGAUGAUUAUUGGAGGUAGAGCACUGUUUGGACGAGGGGCCCCUCUCGGGUUACCGAAUUCAGACAAACUCCGAAUGCCAAUUAAUUUAACUUGGGAGUCAGAACAUGGGUGAUAAGGUCCGUGUUCGAAAGGGAAACAGCCCAGACCACCAGCUAAGGUCCCAAAAUAUAUGUUAAGUGGAAAAGGAUGUGGCGUUGCCCAGACAACUAGGAUGUUGGCUUAGAAGCAGCCAUCAUUUAAAGAGUGCGUAAUAGCUCACUAGUCGAGUGACACUGCGCCGAAAAUGUACCGGGGCUAAACAUAUUACCGAAGCUGUGGAUUGUCCUUUGGACAAUGGUAGGAGAGCGUUCUAAGGGCGUUGAAGCAUGAUCGUAAGGACAUGUGGAGCGCUUAGAAGUGAGAAUGCCGGUGUGAGUAGCGAAAGACGGGUGAGAAUCCCGUCCACCGAUUGACUAAGGUUUCCAGAGGAAGGCUCGUCCGCUCUGGGUUAGUCGGGUCCUAAGCUGAGGCCGACAGGCGUAGGCGAUGGAUAACAGGUUGAUAUUCCUGUACCACCUAUAAUCGUUUUAAUCGAUGGGGGGACGCAGUAGGAUAGGCGAAGCGUGCGAUUGGAUUGCACGUCUAAGCAGUAAGGCUGAGUAUUAGGCAAAUCCGGUACUCGUUAAGGCUGAGCUGUGAUGGGGAGAAGACAUUGUGUCUUCGAGUCGUUGAUUUCACACUGCCGAGAAAAGCCUCUAGAUAGAAAAUAGGUGCCCGUACCGCAAACCGACACAGGUAGUCAAGAUGAGAAUUCUAAGGUGAGCGAGCGAACUCUCGUUAAGGAACUCGGCAAAAUGACCCCGUAACUUCGGGAGAAGGGGUGCUCUUUAGGGUUAACGCCCAGAAGAGCCGCAGUGAAUAGGCCCAAGCGACUGUUUAUCAAAAACACAGGUCUCUGCUAAACCGUAAGGUGAUGUAUAGGGGCUGACGCCUGCCCGGUGCUGGAAGGUUAAGAGGAGUGGUUAGCUUCUGCGAAGCUACGAAUCGAAGCCCCAGUAAACGGCGGCCGUAACUAUAACGGUCCUAAGGUAGCGAAAUUCCUUGUCGGGUAAGUUCCGACCCGCACGAAAGGCGUAACGAUUUGGGCACUGUCUCAACGAGAGACUCGGUGAAAUCAUAGUACCUGUGAAGAUGCAGGUUACCCGCGACAGGACGGAAAGACCCCGUGGAGCUUUACUGUAGCCUGAUAUUGAAAUUCGGCACAGCUUGUACAGGAUAGGUAGGAGCCUUUGAAACGUGAGCGCUAGCUUACGUGGAGGCGCUGGUGGGAUACUACCCUAGCUGUGUUGGCUUUCUAACCCGCACCACUUAUCGUGGUGGGAGACAGUGUCAAGCGGGCAGUUUGACUGGGGCGGUCGCCUCCUAAAAGGUAACGGAGGCGCUCAAAGGUUCCCUCAGAAUGGUUGGAAAUCAUUCAUAGAGUGUAAAGGCAUAAGGGAGCUUGACUGCGAGACCUACAAGUCGAGCAGGGUCGAAAGACGGACUUAGUGAUCCGGUGGUUCCGCAUGGAAGGGCCAUCGCUCAACGGAUAAAAGCUACCCCGGGGAUAACAGGCUUAUCUCCCCCAAGAGUUCACAUCGACGGGGAGGUUUGGCACCUCGAUGUCGGCUCAUCGCAUCCUGGGGCUGUAGUCGGUCCCAAGGGUUGGGCUGUUCGCCCAUUAAAGCGGUACGCGAGCUGGGUUCAGAACGUCGUGAGACAGUUCGGUCCCUAUCCGUCGUGGGCGUAGGAAAUUUGAGAGGAGCUGUCCUUAGUACGAGAGGACCGGGAUGGACAUACCUCUGGUGUACCAGUUGUCGUGCCAACGGCAUAGCUGGGUAGCUAUGUGUGGACGGGAUAAGUGCUGAAAGCAUCUAAGCAUGAAGCCCCCCUCAAGAUGAGAUUUCCCAACUUCGGUUAUAAGAUCCCUCAAAGAUGAUGAGGUUAAUAGGUUCGAGGUGGAAGCAUGGUGACAUGUGGAGCUGACGAAUACUAAUCGAUCGAAGACUUAAUCAA